CCUACGGGAGGCUGCAGUGGGGAAUAUUGGACAAUGGGGGGAACCCUGAUCCAGCCAUGCCGCGUGUGUGAAGAAGGCCCUCGGGUUGUAAAGCACUUUCAGUGAGGAAGAACGCCUGGUGGUUAAUACCCAUCAGGAAAGACAUCACUCACAGAAGAAGCACCGGCUAACUCCGUGCCAGCAGCCGCGGUAAUACGGAGGGUGCGAGCGUUAAUCGGAAUUACUGGGCGUAAAGCGCGCGUAGGUGGCUUGAUAAGCCGGUUGUGAAAGCCCCGGGCUCAACCUGGGAACGGCAUCCGGAACUGUCGAGCUAGAGUGCAGGAGAGGAAGGUAGAAUUCCCGGUGUAGCGGUGAAAUGCGUAGAGAUCGGGAGGAAUACCAGUGGCGAAGGCGGCCUUCUGGACUGACACUGACACUGAGGUGCGAAAGCGUGGGUAGCAAACAGGAUUAGAUACCCUUGUAGUC
RNAcentral lists this ribosomal RNA (465 nucleotides) under Vreelandella stevensii. RNAcentral's name for it is "partial 16S ribosomal RNA". It matches the Rfam family "Bacterial small subunit ribosomal RNA", at positions 338 to 795 of the family's 1533-position model. The record is from RNAcentral. Lineage: Bacteria; Pseudomonadati; Pseudomonadota; Gammaproteobacteria; Oceanospirillales; Halomonadaceae.